GGGUUGUGAGGUUAAGCGACUAAGCGUACACGGUGGAUGCCCUGGCAGUCAGAGGCGAUGAAGGACGUGCUAAUCUGCGAUAAGCGUCGGUGAGGUGAUAUGAACCGUUAUAACCGGCGAUUUCCGAAUGGGGAAACCCAGUGUGUUUCGACACACUAUCAUUAACUGAAUCCAUAGGUUAAUGAGGCGAACCGGGGGAACUGAAACAUCUAAGUACCCCGAGGAAAAGAAAUCAACCGAGAUUCCCCCAGUAGCGGCGAGCGAACGGGGAGGAGCCCAGAGCCUGAAUCAGUGUGUGUGUUAGUGGAAGCGUCUGGAAAGGCGCGCGAUACAGGGUGACAGCCCCGUACACAAAAAUGCACAUACUGUGAGCUCGAUGAGUAGGGCGGGACACGUGGUAUCCUGUCUGAAUAUGGGGGGACCAUCCUCCAAGGCUAAAUACUCCUGACUGACCGAUAGUGAACCAGUACCGUGAGGGAAAGGCGAAAAGAACCCCGGCGAGGGGAGUGAAAAAGAACCUGAAACCGUGUACGUACAAGCAGUGGGAGCCUCUUAAUGGGGUGACUGCGUACCUUUUGUAUAAUGGGUCAGCGACUUAUAUUCUGUAGCAAGGUUAACCGAAUAGGGGAGCCGAAGGGAAACCGAGUCUUAACUGGGCGUUAAGUUGCAGGGUAUAGACCCGAAACCCGGUGAUCUAGCCAUGGGCAGGUUGAAGGUUGGGUAACACUAACUGGAGGACCGAACCGACUAAUGUUGAAAAAUUAGCGGAUGACUUGUGGCUGGGGGUGAAAGGCCAAUCAAACCGGGAGAUAGCUGGUUCUCCCCGAAAGCUAUUUAGGUAGCGCCUCGUGAAUUCAUCUCCGGGGGUAGAGCACUGUUUCGGCAAGGGGGUCAUCCCGACUUACCAACCCGAUGCAAACUGCGAAUACCGGAGAAUGUUAUCACGGGAGACACACGGCGGGUGCUAACGUCCGUCGUGAAGAGGGAAACAACCCAGACCGCCAGCUAAGGUCCCAAAGUCAUGGUUAAGUGGGAAACGAUGUGGGAAGGCCCAGACAGCCAGGAUGUUGGCUUAGAAGCAGCCAUCAUUUAAAGAAAGCGUAAUAGCUCACUGGUCGAGUCGGCCUGCGCGGAAGAUGUAACGGGGCUAAACCAUGCACCGAAGCUGCGGCAGCGACACUAUGUGUUGUUGGGUAGGGGAGCGUUCUGUAAGCCUGUGAAGGUGUACUGUGAGGUAUGCUGGAGGUAUCAGAAGUGCGAAUGCUGACAUAAGUAACGAUAAAGCGGGUGAAAAGCCCGCUCGCCGGAAGACCAAGGGUUCCUGUCCAACGUUAAUCGGGGCAGGGUGAGUCGACCCCUAAGGUGAGGCCGAAAGGCGUAGUCGAUGGGAAACAGGUUAAUAUUCCUGUACUUGGUGUUACUGCGAAGGGGGGACGGAGAAGGCUAUGUUGGCCGGGCGACGGUUGUCCCGGUUUAAGCGUGUAGGCUGGUUUUCCAGGCAAAUCCGGAAAAUCAAGGCUGAGGCGUGAUGACGAGGCACUACGGUGCUGAAGCGACAAAUGCCCUGCUUCCAGGAAAAGCCUCUAAGCAUCAGGUAACAUCAAAUCGUACCCCAAACCGACACAGGUGGUCAGGUAGAGAAUACCAAGGCGCUUGAGAGAACUCGGGUGAAGGAACUAGGCAAAAUGGUGCCGUAACUUCGGGAGAAGGCACGCUGAUAUGUAGGUGAAGCGACUUGCUCGUGGAGCUGAAAUCAGUCGAAGAUACCAGCUGGCUGCAACUGUUUAUUAAAAACACAGCACUGUGCAAACACGAAAGUGGACGUAUACGGUGUGACGCCUGCCCGGUGCCGGAAGGUUAAUUGAUGGGGUUAGCGGUAACGCGAAGCUCUUGAUCGAAGCCCCGGUAAACGGCGGCCGUAACUAUAACGGUCCUAAGGUAGCGAAAUUCCUUGUCGGGUAAGUUCCGACCUGCACGAAUGGCGUAAUGAUGGCCAGGCUGUCUCCACCCGAGACUCAGUGAAAUUGAACUCGCUGUGAAGAUGCAGUGUACCCGCGGCAAGACGGAAAGACCCCGUGAACCUUUACUAUAGCUUGACACUGAACAUUGAGCCUUGAUGUGUAGGAUAGGUGGGAGGCUUUGAAGUGUGGACGCCAGUCUGCAUGGAGCCGACCUUGAAAUACCACCCUUUAAUGUUUGAUGUUCUAACGUGGGCCCCUUACCGGGGUUGCGGACAGUGUCUGGUGGGUAGUUUGACUGGGGCGGUCUCCUCCUAAAGAGUAACGGAGGAGCACGAAGGUUGGCUAAUCCUGGUCGGACAUCAGGAGGUUAGUGCAAUGGCAUAAGCCAGCUUGACUGCGAGCGUGACGGCGCGAGCAGGUGCGAAAGCAGGUCAUAGUGAUCCGGUGGUUCUGAAUGGAAGGGCCAUCGCUCAACGGAUAAAAGGUACUCCGGGGAUAACAGGCUGAUACCGCCCAAGAGUUCAUAUCGACGGCGGUGUUUGGCACCUCGAUGUCGGCUCAUCACAUCCUGGGGCUGAAGUAGGUCCCAAGGGUAUGGCUGUUCGCCAUUUAAAGUGGUACGCGAGCUGGGUUUAGAACGUCGUGAGACAGUUCGGUCCCUAUCUGCCGUGGGCGCUGGAGAACUGAGGGGGGCUGCUCCUAGUACGAGAGGACCGGAGUGGACGCAUCACUGGUGUUCGGGUUGUCAUGCCAAUGGCACUGCCCGGUAGCUAAAUGCGGAAGAGAUAAGUGCUGAAAGCAUCUAAGCACGAAACUUGCCCCGAGAUGAGUUCUCCCUGACUCCUUGAGAGUCCUGAAGGAACGUUGAAGACGACGACGUUGAUAGGCCGGGUGUGUAAGCGCAGCGAUGCGUUGAGCUAACCGGUACUAAUGAACCGUGAGGCUUAACCUUACAACGCCGAAG
RNAcentral lists this ribosomal RNA (2925 nucleotides) under Escherichia coli O25b:H4. Its description in RNAcentral is "23S ribosomal RNA". It matches the Rfam family "Bacterial large subunit ribosomal RNA". Lineage: Bacteria; Pseudomonadati; Pseudomonadota; Gammaproteobacteria; Enterobacterales; Enterobacteriaceae. The record is from RNAcentral.